RNAcentral lists this ribosomal RNA (768 nucleotides) under uncultured Glomeromycotina. RNAcentral's name for it is "SSU rRNA". It matches the Rfam family "Eukaryotic small subunit ribosomal RNA", at positions 329 to 1098 of the family's 1831-position model. The record is from RNAcentral. Lineage: Eukaryota; Fungi; Glomeromycota.
UAGGAUAGAGGCCUACCAUGGUGGUAACGGGUAACGGGGUGUUAGGGCACGACACCGGAGAGGGAGCCUGAGAAACGGCUACCACAUCCAAGGAUGGCAGCAGGCGCGCAAAUUACCCAAUCCCGACACGGGGAGGUAGUGACAAUAAAUAACAAUACGGGGUUCUCUAGGAUCUCGUAAUUGGAAUGAGUACAAUUUAAAUCUCUUAACGAGGAACAAUUGGAGGGCAAGUCUGGUGCCAGCAGCCGCGGUAAUUCCAGCUCCAAUAGCGUAUAUUAAAGUUGUUGCAGUUAAAAAGCUCGUAGUUGAAUUUCGGGGUUAGUAGGUUGGUCAUGCCUCUGGUAUGUACUGGUCUCACUGAUUCCUCCUUCCUGAUGAGCCGUAAUGCCAUUAAUUUGGUGUUGCGGGGAAUUUGGACUGUUACUUUGAAAAAAUUAGAGUGUUUAAAGCAAGCUAACGCUUGAAUACAUUAGCAUGGAAUAAUGAAAUAGGACGUUCGAUCCUAUUUUGUUGGUUUCUAGGAUCGACGUAAUGAUUAAUAGGGAUAGUUGGGGGCAUUAGUAUUCAAUUGUCAGAGGUGAAAUUCUUGGAUUUAUUGAAGACUAACUACUGCGAAAGCAUUUGCCAAGGAUGUUUUCAUUAAUCAAGAACGAAAGUUAGGGGAUCGAAGACGAUCAGAUACCGUCGUAGUCUUAACCAUAAACUAUGCCGACUAGGGAUCGGAUGAUGUUAAUUUUUUAAUGACUCAUUCGGCGCCUUACGGGAAAC